CCUACGGGUGGCAGCAGUGAGGAAUAUUGGUCAAUGGGCGCGAGCCUGAACCAGCCAAGUCGCGUGAGGGAAGACGGUCCUAUGGAUUGUAAACCUCUUUUGUCGGGGAGCCAAAGACGCCACGCGUGGCGUUCCGAGAGUAACCGAAGAAAAAGCAUCGGCUAACUCCGUGCCAGCAGCCGCGGUAAUACGGAGGAUGCGAGCGUUAUACGGAUUUAUUGGGUUCACAGGGUGCGCAGGCGGAAUCUCAAGGUAGCGGUAAAAUUGAGAGGCUCAACCUCUUCGAGCCGUUGAAACUGGUUUUCUUGAGUGAGCGAGAAGUAUGCGGAAUGCGUUGUGUAGCGGGGAAAUGCAUAGAUAUCACGCAGAACUCCGAUUGCGAAGGCAGCAUACCGGCGCUCAACUGACGCUCAUGCACGAAAGUGUGGGUAUCGAACAGGAUUAGAUACCCUAGUAGUC
RNAcentral lists this ribosomal RNA (459 nucleotides) under uncultured bacterium. Its description in RNAcentral is "partial 16S ribosomal RNA". It matches the Rfam family "Bacterial small subunit ribosomal RNA", at positions 338 to 795 of the family's 1533-position model. The record is from RNAcentral.